GGAAAGAUGGCAGAGCGGUUCAUUGCACCAAUUUUGAAAAUUGGCGUGUCCUUGCGGGCACCGGGGGUUCGAAUCCCUCUCUUUCCG
RNAcentral lists this transfer RNA (87 nucleotides) under Chlamydomonas priscui. RNAcentral describes it as "Chlamydomonas sp. UWO 241 tRNA-Ser". It matches the Rfam family "tRNA". Rfam says of the family: Transfer RNA (tRNA) molecules are approximately 80 nucleotides in length. Lineage: Eukaryota; Viridiplantae; Chlorophyta; Chlorophyceae; Chlamydomonadales; Chlamydomonadaceae. The record is from RNAcentral.